Non-coding RNA from Vicia faba (fava bean), 341 nucleotides. NCBI's taxonomy places the organism in Eukaryota, Viridiplantae, Streptophyta, Magnoliopsida, Fabales, Fabaceae. The record is from the annotation of a GenBank genome assembly.
AUGGAACUAGGUUAUGUCUUCAUGGAAGACCUCGCUAGAGCUGUGGCACAAUUCUACCCCUCUUCAUCUGGAGGAAUGUCUGGGGGGUUCAAUCAACCUCCUUCCCCAGAGGGGGCUCUGCCUGCAUUUCACGAAACCCAAGAUCAGCCUGGUCCUUCAGCUUCAGAAGGGGAGGGUCGGGCUGUCCGGGAUUUUAGCAGUGAAUUGCGUAAUAUUGAGUCAUUACGCGAAGAUAAGUCCCUAGACGUGAGCUACCGAAAUGCCUUAAUAAAGCAGGAAUCGAUUGUAAUUGAAAUGAAAAAGUUCCUUUUACCGGGAAAUCCGAUAACAGAUGAGGACAU